AUCCCAUGGUGAGGACUCUACCUUAACAAUUCCUUGAAUCUCUGCCACACAUCAAACAAAGACUCGUCAUAUCCUUGCCUAAAUGAAGCAAUCUCAUUCCUCAUCUU
Molecule: small nucleolar RNA, 107 nt
Organism: Vicia villosa (hairy vetch)
Lineage: Eukaryota; Viridiplantae; Streptophyta; Magnoliopsida; Fabales; Fabaceae
Source: RefSeq, a predicted model, not a curated record